AACGCAAAUUGCGCUCGAGGCUUCGGCCAAGAGCAUGUCUGCCUCGGCGUCGGGUUAAUAUCGCUCAUUACCCACCAUGGUGAGUAACCAAGCGGAACUGGCUGUCUCGGGAAGAUUAAUUUUUUACCGGGUCAGCUGAAGUGCAGCUGUUAAACCAUGGACCCGCUAUGGGCCUGUACUGGGUAGGCAACUUGUUGCUCAAUGCUUUAGUAGAUGGCUUAGGGACUGUGUUUUGCACAAAGCAGGAAUAUUCUUAAUUGAGUAUACCUCCUUUAUUUUCUAGACCUGAGCUCAGGCAUGAUUACCCGCUGAACUU
Molecule: unclassified non-coding RNA, 316 nt
Filed under: uncultured fungus
Lineage: Eukaryota; Fungi
Description: partial contains 5.8S rRNA and ITS2
Source: RNAcentral